AUGUGGGGCACCACACAUCCCUUAAAUGGUGGACAACCCCACACUACCCACGGCAGUUGCCCAAGCUUCGCCCACAACCUACUUCCACAAUCGAUACAUUAUUUCAACAACCACACACUUCUUUUCUUCCUCCUAUGUGUUUCUCAACCACAACAACUUUCAACGAAAAACAUCCACCACACUGUUGUGGUUGACGAAUUGAUGGAGAAUUGGUGCCAAAUGUGUUGUUUCGCGCCAUGCCCACCAAGUGUUCGUCAAAAUUCAUACGUAAUGCCGGUGUCAGAACUCGUCGGCAAUAAGCGUUGCCUACAAUCAACAUUGUCAGUCAUAGUAAUAUCUCAGGUACUCAAACAUUGA
Molecule: non-coding RNA, 357 nt
Organism: Vicia faba (fava bean)
Lineage: Eukaryota; Viridiplantae; Streptophyta; Magnoliopsida; Fabales; Fabaceae
Source: the annotation of a GenBank genome assembly